GUAUUAGAUCAAAAACUAAAACUUUCUGUUUACACACAGGCCAGGUAUAUAGGGGGAGGGUCCAGUGUUUUCAAGCUUCCCCACACAGCGCCGCACAUCUACCUAAACUCUGAUUUGAAAGGACCACUAACUGCUGGGGUGAGAGAAGAAAAUUCAUUAUUCCAUAUUCAUUCCAUCAC
This 179-nucleotide small RNA is filed under the name Dasypus novemcinctus (nine-banded armadillo). Its description in RNAcentral is "TUC338 (ENSDNOG00000047968.1)". The record is from RNAcentral. Lineage: Eukaryota; Metazoa; Chordata; Mammalia; Cingulata; Dasypodidae.